AACGAACGCUGGCGGCAGGCUUAACACAUGCAAGUCGAACGCCCCGCAAGGGGAGUGGCAGACGGGUGAGUAACGCGUGGGAAUCUACCCAGAUCUUCGGAACAACUGAGGGAAACUUCAGCUAAUACCGGAUACGCCCUACGGGGGAAAGAUUUAUCGGAUUUGGAUGAGCCCGCGUUGGAUUAGCUAGUUGGUGGGGUAAUGGCCUACCAAGGCGACGAUCCAUAGCUGGUCUGAGAGGAUGAUCAGCCACACUGGGACUGAGACACGGCCCAGACUCCUACGGGAGGCAGCAGUGGGGAAUAUUGGACAAUGGGCGAAAGCCUGAUCCAGCCAUGCCGCGUGAGUGAUGAAGGCCUUAGGGUUGUAAAGCUCUUUCAGUAGGGAAGAUAAUGACGGUACCUACAGAAGAAGCCCCGGCUAACUUCGUGCCAGCCGCCGCGGUAA
RNAcentral lists this ribosomal RNA (447 nucleotides) under uncultured bacterium. RNAcentral's name for it is "partial 16S ribosomal RNA". It matches the Rfam family "Bacterial small subunit ribosomal RNA", at positions 29 to 523 of the family's 1533-position model. The record is from RNAcentral.